This 373-nucleotide transfer-messenger RNA is filed under the name Acidimicrobiaceae bacterium. It matches the Rfam family "transfer-messenger RNA". From Rfam's summary of the family: Bacterial tmRNA, also known as 10Sa RNA or SsrA, is named for its dual tRNA and mRNA-like properties. Its role is to liberate the mRNA from a stalled ribosome. To accomplish this part of the tmRNA is used as a reading frame that ends in a translation stop signal. Lineage: Bacteria; Bacillati; Actinomycetota; Acidimicrobiia; Acidimicrobiales; Acidimicrobiaceae. The record is from RNAcentral.
GGGGGUGAUCGGUUUCGACUUUGACGGUUGAAGUGAGAGAAGCGAGCCGUGGUCUCCGGAUCCACGAAAAAGAGCCGGAAACAAACACAAACGCCAACGUCGAACACGCUCAGCGUGGCGAUCUGGUGCUCGCAGCCUGAUCUCAGGUUGUGAGUUCGGCCCGAUAGCCGCAGUCCUGCGGGCGUCGGUGCCAUCAUCUGCAGGGCUUGCCCGCCGCCCGUGCCGACGGGGCGACGGGGACACGCACAGACGGCUACGGCGACUGGCAGGGUGUCGCUGCCCGCCAUCGCCCGACAAUCCCCCAGCGACUGCGCUCGGAGAAGACUCACCGAAACGUUGAAGGACGCGGGUUCGAUUCCCGCCACCUCCACUC